Passer domesticus (house sparrow) is the source of this 2455-nucleotide long non-coding RNA. RefSeq lists it as uncharacterized. NCBI's taxonomy places the organism in Eukaryota, Metazoa, Chordata, Aves, Passeriformes, Passeridae. The record is from RefSeq and is a predicted model, not a curated record. The transcript has 2 exons.
CCCGCGAGUUCCCCCGGGCCGGGGCAGCGGCGCGGCCGCGCGUCCCGCAGCGGGGCGGGGGAGCGCCCACCCCAAACACUCGGGCCCCGCGGCUCCAGAAGCGACACGCAGGCACCGGCCGUGGGGUUCGAAGCGGGGGGAGAACUGUAGGGUGGUCGCCGAGUGCCCCCCCGCCCGCGGAACCCCUCUCCCGCGGGUGCGCGGUGGUGGCUGCACAGCUCCGGUCCCGGUGCGGAGCGGGCGCGCAGCCCCGCGGGACUCCCCCCCCGCCCUGCCAAGAUGAAUGGGAGAAGAGGAUGCCAAGUUCCUGAAAGCAAUAAGCACUUUAAUAAACAUAAUAAAUGCUGGGCCCAAUUCUGCCUUUGUCUAUGUUAUUGUAAGUCUAACUUCUCUUCAUGCAGCUGACAGGUAAUUUGAGGCAGUGUAACGUGGGACAGAGUCAAACCCUUUAAUUUGGAAGAAGACCAUUUCUUUCUCUGGCCCAUGCCCAAGAAAAUAUAUAUAAGAUAUACAAAAGAUAGUAGUAGAAACUGGUUUUGUGGGGCUUUUUUUUUUUGGGGGGGGGGGGGUGUUUGGUUUUUUUUGUGUGGUUUUAGGUAAAAAUAUUAAAUUCUGGACUGAAAACUAGGCUUUUGUAGCUAAGCCAAAAGGGGGAAUGUUUAUCAUAGGUGACCGAAGAGGAGUACAACUAAUGUGCGUUUAGAACCUUGAACUGUUGUGUUAGUCCACACAAAUUUAUAAUGCCACUUUUAAAAUAACUACUGAUGUCCAAAUAGAUUUUAGCAUCUAUUAAAGGUAUCAUCUUAAGACAUAUUAAUGGGGGGAAAGGAAACUGAGAAUUAAAUUGUUAAGAUUACUUCAUAGGAAAAGAUGAUGAGCAGCAUCAGUUAGUACAGUUGGUAAAAUAUUACUUUUUUUUGGGGGGGGGGUUGGUUUUUUUUUCCUGUAGCAGAAACACACCAGAACGACAUUAUUCUCUCGGGGUCAAUAUUAAUGGCAAACCGACGGCCAGUUGUGAGCACGGGAGCGAUGAUGCCCGGGCAGUCCCAGCCCGGGGCUGAGCCGGAGGCGGCUUCGAGCCACACGGGGGAGUCGCAAUGCGCGCACGGCCAAGUUCGCGUCUCAUAAAUCACUCCUCGGAAACCUGAUUUCUCCGUGCUGCCGCCUCGUCAGUCUGUCUGGGACAAAACACGAGAUCUGCAACACUUAGCACAGCAAAAAGCCAAGCUGGGGACGCGGUGUUUCUGCAACAGAGCGGCCUCUAAGUGCGGCGGGUCGGGGUUUUUGGAGGGGGAGAAGUCUGUGCCAAGCAUGAUUCUCUUCACUGAACGCCGAGCCACCAGCUUGACUGGUGAUGCCAUGUAGAACACUAAGAAAAGUUAAAGAAAUCUCAGCCAUCAGCAAUAAAAUAUAGUGAUUUUGUGUAAUCCAUUGGGAAAGCAGAGGGUGUGGCAGCUCAUUGCGUGACAGGACAGCACGGAAUCUGACAGCGGCAGUGGAGCAGCAGCGCUGGAGCAGGAGCCAGGCCCUGCUCAUCAUCGCAUUUCUCACUGCAAAGGUUGCACAGCCCUCCACCAGAUAGCUGCAGGAAAACCGGGCACGGGCACCGUGUGGGCAGGCUCUGAUGCUGUAGAUUUAAUGAUCCUACAAAAGCCGCCUUCAGUAAGCACAGGCCAUGAGCAGUGGACACGCAGCCUGCAAGUCCUGCAGCAGUGAACCAUCCUCACUGCCCAGCUCCAUCCCCAUGUGCAGGGCACAGCGGUGAUGCGGGUCCUGAGCAAUGCGCAGAGGGAAGCUGGGACAGAGAUCUCUCAGCACGGCACAGGUUUUCUUGCAGUACUCAGGGCAUCCUAACGAACAUUCCCUUGGAUUUUUAUACACGGUUCUUUCGACCUAACCAUGUUACACAGGAGACUCUGCCAGUUUAUUGUUACCUGCUACUAAUCCAGACUGCUGCUCACACAAUACACCAUUAUCCAGCAAAACAACACGUACUGACAAACGCUGCUCAGCGAGCACUGGCCACCAAUCCGAGGGAGCCAGGGUCACUGCUGAACAAUACCAAGAGAGGUCUCACUAGCUUCUUCUCCCUCCUCCAUUCAAUGAGCUGUUAAUAGACAAGCUGUUAGAGAGAAAAAGAACUAAAUAGUUUACAAGCUUACAUUUGAAGGCCUGUGAAUUGCAUUAGCUGAGCCAGCUGAGUGAGAGCCAAGGCAAUCUCCCCACGAUUGUAGAAAAUGGCAUUGAGGCAUGUGGAGGCAAAGAAAGAAUGACAGUGACCAGGUUUACAAUAUGCAAAGCUGAAAUAAUUACUGCUUUCUGUGGCAUAGAAUUUUUAGCUGAACUACAAUAUGGAAUCAAAGCAUUCUGUUAAAUGCACAAGUGUGUUUGUAUUUUAAAACUUUCUUCUAUGCAAAUAUUUAUUUACAGCAUUAAUAAAAAUUUUCUGAAGCUG